This 68-nucleotide transfer RNA is filed under the name Arabitragus jayakari (Arabian tahr). RNAcentral describes it as "tRNA-Phe". It matches the Rfam family "tRNA". Rfam says of the family: Transfer RNA (tRNA) molecules are approximately 80 nucleotides in length. The record is from RNAcentral. Lineage: Eukaryota; Metazoa; Chordata; Mammalia; Artiodactyla; Bovidae.
GUUAAUGUAGCUUAAGCUUAAAGCAAGGCACUGAAAAUGCUUAGAUGAGUACACCAACUCCAUAAACA